AGCAAGUAGGGUUCCAAGAUCCUCUCUUCUCAUUCCAUGGGGUACUCUUAUGGCAUGUAGGGGUGCCACUGUGAUGUCCCAAGAAAAAGAACUAUAAAAAGAGUAUCUUAUAUUUGUGUAUAUAAUAUGGUAUGAUCAUGUUGUAUAAUUAUAUUUUCAUAUCCUAAAGAUAUGAUUAGAUGCCAUGUUUAGUUGUUAUGUUUAUAAAGAUAAACUAUAAUAGUGCAUCA
Molecule: long non-coding RNA, 230 nt
Filed under: Elaeis guineensis (African oil palm)
Lineage: Eukaryota; Viridiplantae; Streptophyta; Magnoliopsida; Arecales; Arecaceae
Description: long non-coding RNA (EGUI_LNC061277)
Source: RNAcentral